Molecule: long non-coding RNA, 415 nt
Organism: Gorilla gorilla gorilla (western lowland gorilla)
Lineage: Eukaryota; Metazoa; Chordata; Mammalia; Primates; Hominidae
Exons: 3
Source: RefSeq, a predicted model, not a curated record
AUGAAAGGUUUGGUCAGAAAAGGAGGCUGGGGUAAAACAGCAUCUAUUCUGUCAUUUGAAGAAUGGGAAGGAUUUUGCUAGAACAAGAGAGGGUGGGAAAAUAAGAAAGGAAAAUAGAACAUUUUAGGGAAAGGGAAUAGUGUGUGCAAAGAUGAAGAAGUAUAAAAGAAAACAUAGCUUAUUCCAGAAACUGCUAAAAGGAUCAAUAUGCUGUCGUGUCAUGAGAGAGCCACGAUUCUUCAAACAUAUUUAACUGCUGGAGGGAAUGGCUCAGAAUCCCAAGUAUCAGCUUCAGCACACAUCUUUUCUUGGCCCUUGACAGAAGAAGCAGAGUAACUUUUCUUAGGUGGCAUAAUUCUUCAAAAUGUGUUCAUUUUGAAGAACAGGGGUGAUGGAUGGUAAUACACAGGCAGGG